UCAACAAUCGGUCGAAAGAAUAUUCGAUACUGUCCAUAGAAAUCGUAAAAGAUUUCUGAAAAGCGGUCAAGAAAAAUAUACGGUCUUUAUUUAUCUAUUGCAUGGAUUCAUUUAACCGAAUCGUGUGCUUUGAAAUGAAUGACUGUGUUUUUAAAGGUUUAUCAAUGGGGGUAGCUAUCAGGCGACGUAGCGCCCCGUUCGUCUCAGUUCAAAUGAUCCCUCGGGUGCUUCUCGAACUGAGAAUGAAUGAAGUGACGUCACACUCAGGAGAGCGCCAGCCGAAGGAUCAAAGUACGCACCCGGAUACGGGCGAAGGGUGGGGGCGGGCAGCGUGGCUUAAGCCACGAACUGCAGUUUUUCUAGCUUGAGGCUUUUUCUUUGUAUAAAGGAGUAGCAGCGCCCACGUGCUUGUACCGUCUUUUGCAAGGGGGUCUCCGCUGUGUUUAGCCACUAGCAAGUCGCCUUGCCCGGUCGAUUUUUACUAGGCUCGGAAGUUACUGCGCAGAGCAGAAUGCGAUCACCUCUUAAAUUAAUUACAUUUAAAUGAAAUCUAGCCUGGUGCCCUCGAGGCCUUUUGAGAGUGCAGGUUCCCAAAUUCUCGGCCGGCAAGGCCAAAGGACAGGCUGAGAAUGGCCAGAAUAUAUUUGGAAGACUCCAGAUUCUUCUGGAUGUUGGUUUCCAGUCUGAAUGACUAAGAAAGAGGGGAUUACAUAGAGAAAUAAUCUAAUCUGGUUUAAGGUUAAACCAGACUGCUUAUAGGAGAGGUACUUUUGUGACACUCCAGGAGCUGAAAAAUCAGCAUUCUGCACAAAGAAGCUAAAAGGAAGUGUCAAGUGUACCACUGGGUCUGUAUUCAGAAGACAACAGAAGUGACGAGGGACCCGAAAGGAAACACUUAUGAGAUAUCCAUGAGAACCCAAGGGAACUUUGGAAUACCUAUGAGUAGCUGGAGAAAAGUCAAGAACCAGGGAACAGGAGAAAUCUAAGCAAAGAGCAGGAGCACUGUGGGUAGAGGAACUGAUUAGAAACCACGGUCCACAGAACCCACGGAAACAUCUCAUCUGUUUUGACUUCUGGGGAAGAAAUGGUGAACUGACCAAGAAGAAAUGGGGAAGAAAAAAUGGAGACCGUGGCAGAAUGAAGUGCCGACUUGACAAAUGAACAGCAGAGCUCGGGUAAACAACAUUUAUGUGCAACAGCUUGGAGAUCAACAUAAUUCACCAUAUGGCAAGCUUGGCUGAGCUGUCAACAAAGUGUAUUGCACACCUAAUUUAUUCUGAAAAUUUAUGCCUCUACAAAUUGUGACAGAUGAUUUUUCAUGUCACUCAACUUUUACAGAGCCUGACAAAUAAAGUAGAUAUUCAUAAUUCCCCCAGAAAAUCAACAAAGAAACCUCAGUGAUGGAGAUAAAGUUCAGAUAUGGCCUAUUGAAUCAAAGCAAUACCAAUAUAAUGGUCUGAAUCCCCAAAAGUGCAUGGGGAAGUGCAGAGUUGUGACUUGUGACCAUUCCUAAGGAGAUGCCUACAGAAGAAUGGUAUUUGGACAAGAAUGGACACCCAACUUCAGCUUUCAAUGAACUUUAAUGUUAAAAGGAUUCUUACCAAUAAAUAUCUCAUCUUCAAGGCAAAGGAGUCGGGGGUGUAACUCUUUUCUUAAUAUCUAUUUCCAGUGAGGUGUUCUUUUUUUUUUUUUUAAAGCAUUUCAACUGCUGGAGCAAGUAGAGGGCCUGAGAUUGAGGAAGACACAUACUACCCAUAGGGGUGAGAGGGGAUUUUUUUUUUUUUUUAAUAAAAAUACAGGUAGUCUGUUCCAUUGGAUUGGAGUUGAUGAAUACAUGCAGGGCAUUCAUGCAAUCCUAUGUCAGAAUUAUAAGACGCUAAUAGUAGAAUGUAAAGUAAUGGCAAAAUAGUCCAGUCAAAAGGAUUCAAGAAUACAUUGGAAAUAAGGAUGUAGAGAAUAGGGCAGUAAAAACAUCGUCAGUUUCAGGCACUAUCAGCAAGGGAAGGGAAGGGAAGGGAAGGACAGUACUAUUAUGAGCAACUGCAAAAGUUGUUCCAGCAAUGAGGUGCUCACAACCAGAAGCAUAAAUAUUUAAAUGGUCCAGACUGCACCAUUAUUCCACAGUAGACCACUAUUCCCAAGAUAGCUGUUGUAGGAAAUAAUUUCAUCUGCAUGUCCUACCAGAUCCAGCAGAGUGGGCACGUUAUGGGUUCCGUCACCUAGGGAGCUACAUUUAGUGGGCCCCAGGUGGUGGGCCUUUUCUGCUGUGGCACCUGUGCUGUGAAAUCUCCCCACCCCAAGGUGAGACUGGCCUCAUCAUUGUUGAACUUCCGGAGGUCCCUGAAGACUUGGUUAUUCCAGCAGACCUGGGGACUCCAGGGGAUGGGGGAAUUAGUGAGGCCGCUCCCUUAUUUUUAACUUCCUUUUAUUCUCUGU
Python bivittatus (Burmese python) is the source of this 2436-nucleotide long non-coding RNA. RefSeq lists it as uncharacterized. NCBI's taxonomy places the organism in Eukaryota, Metazoa, Chordata, Lepidosauria, Squamata, Pythonidae. The record is from RefSeq and is a predicted model, not a curated record.